Molecule: non-coding RNA, 72 nt
Organism: Phrynosoma platyrhinos (Desert horned lizard)
Lineage: Eukaryota; Metazoa; Chordata; Lepidosauria; Squamata; Phrynosomatidae
Source: the annotation of a GenBank genome assembly
GCCAGAGUGGCAUAGUGGUUUAAGUGUUGGACUAUGACUCCAGAGAUCAGGGUUCGAUUCCCAGCUUGGCCA